GGGCGCAUAGCUCAGCUGGGAGAGCAUCUGCCUUACAAGCAGGGGGUCACAGGUUCGAGUCCUGUUGUGCCCACCA
This 76-nucleotide transfer RNA is filed under the name Clostridium botulinum. RNAcentral's name for it is "tRNA-Val". It matches the Rfam family "tRNA". From Rfam's summary of the family: Transfer RNA (tRNA) molecules are approximately 80 nucleotides in length. Their secondary structure includes four short double-helical elements and three loops (D, anti-codon, and T loops). Lineage: Bacteria; Bacillati; Bacillota; Clostridia; Eubacteriales; Clostridiaceae. The record is from RNAcentral. RNAcentral also lists the same sequence under 2 other names.